This is a long non-coding RNA of Melanotaenia boesemani (Boeseman's rainbowfish), 1433 nucleotides long. RefSeq lists it as uncharacterized. NCBI's taxonomy places the organism in Eukaryota, Metazoa, Chordata, Actinopteri, Atheriniformes, Melanotaeniidae. The transcript is spliced from 7 exons. The record is from RefSeq and is a predicted model, not a curated record.
ACCACAAGAAGGAUUGGGGCAGACCACCUUAACCUUCCACAACUUAUAGAGCAUCCAGACGAGUAGUGGAUGGGUGAAAACACGGUCUGGUGAAGGCUCCUGGUGGUAGAGACUCGGCUGAGGUGUAGCAGCAGAAGGAAGGCUCCUUCUUCGCCUCUGGUUCCUGCAACAAGAGGGGGACACUCUCCUCCGCCUUUAACUUCAGGGCCUGUCUUUGGGUGGAUCCUGCUGGACUAUCCAGCUCCUGUGGUCGCGGCCUCCUGGCUGCCCUCCAGAGAGCUGUUUCCUGUCUGCGCCGCCUCCCAGCCUGACUAAACUAAAUAUUUUAAUAUUUUACCAAACCAAGACUUGGUGGUUCACAUGUUGCAGCUGCAGAGCCGAAUGUCGCCAUGGCCAGGAAAGUGUCUCAGAAACAAGUCAUGGAAGGUGGGAGAUUACUGGUUCUCCGGUCAGCACUGCAUCUCAGCUCUAGACCCCCAAACUCCCUUGGUGUUCCUCUGUUUGAUCGGGAGAGGAUGGAGCACAUCUGGCGGGUCCAGAAGAAGCAUGUGAAGAGCAUCCAAGAUCCACCAGGUGUUGCUCUCUACACUAAAACUGGGAGCUGACCAAGGGAGGUGUGUGUCUGCCGGUGUUUAGGUGAACCAGAGGCUCAACUUCCUUGGAGUCUUUUCAUCUGCAGCUAAACCGCUUCAUACCAGGGAGCAGUGCCAACAGCCUGAAUGUUCAGGUUUACCUGUUGGAAGGGCUACACAGGUGGAACCAGGACCAGGUGUUGCUGCCAUGGCAACUGAGAAGUCUCCUUUGUGCUGCUACUCUGGUGAUUUGCUGCAUUCUGUCAACCAAACCUACAAGAAGCUGUUUGGCAGAAAGGUGGCGCCAGAGUUCUGUCCGUCCUCAUGUUACACAGGCAAACUCGUAGGAGUGCAGUAUCUGUUCCAGCAGACUGGUCAGGAACUGCAGGACAUGAACCCUGACUCAGAGGAGACCGCCCGGUUGGUUGAGGAGCACGAUGUGGUGCUUGAUGAGGAAGAUGAGGGCUUUUCUGACCUCACAGACGAGCCACAGUGCUGGAUAUGGAGGUUCAACCUGCUCCCAGCACCUCCUCCACACUGGCCUCUGGCAUAUCUGAGGCUGGAGAUUCCUCACAUGAAACUGUGCUCAGUAACAGUUAUUUGCUGCUGUUUUCUACAUACUGUAUGUUCACGGAUGUUAUUGAAACUAAAGGUUUUAAAUAGUAAUUUUCUGUUUUCUGCUUAAUAACAUUGGCAGGCUGUUGAUGAGCAGAAUGUGGCUGGAUACCAGCAUGUGGAGGAGAAAGAUCCUAAAUAGAAUUUAGGGAACUUGCUCGUCAAUAAUUGUAAAUAGUUCUGAUUGUUUGAGUGUUUAUUGUAAAUAUUGGUCUUUUUUAAAUGGUUCUUGUAUAAUUCAUUUUC